CUCUCUACUCACAGUCACUCUCAGUGUGUUCUGUAUAACCAUGUUACUCUGUCUGAUCAUCUGGCUGGUUCUUGAUGUAUUCUGCUUCGAGUGCACAGGAGACCAUGUCCAACAGCAACCAGAAGGUGUCAUUGCUACAGAAGGAGGACUGGUAACACUGAGUUGUCAAUAUAACACCAGUGCUAAUAAUAAUGCAUAUCUAUUUUGGUACAAACAAGAAGAAAAUGACUUCCCUAAACAUAUGCUGACCCGUUUUUCUUUUGGAUCUGGAGACAAUGCUGGAGGGUUCAAGGGUAGAUUUGAUGCAAGUCUAAAUGCCAAGACACAAUCAGUCCCCUUGACGAUCCAGAGGUUGCAGCUGUCUGACUCUGCUCUGUACUACUGUGCUCUGCAGCCCACAGUGGCAGGAAACCUGUGCACACUGUACAAAAACCUGUAAAGAAAACUGACAUCCCCCAAAUA
Oncorhynchus kisutch (coho salmon) is the source of this 462-nucleotide non-coding RNA. NCBI's taxonomy places the organism in Eukaryota, Metazoa, Chordata, Actinopteri, Salmoniformes, Salmonidae. The record is from the annotation of a RefSeq genome assembly.